UGUUCCUUCACUCAUGGCUGCACAGUCUGGCAGGGCUUGCAGAGGCCACAGAGAACUACCUGGAGGCUUUGCCAGCCUGGGCCGCCUGCGGUGGUGGCAA
This 100-nucleotide microRNA precursor is filed under the name Columba livia (rock pigeon). RNAcentral's name for it is "microRNA cli-mir-9628 precursor". Lineage: Eukaryota; Metazoa; Chordata; Aves; Columbiformes; Columbidae. The record is from miRBase by way of RNAcentral.